This 59-nucleotide transfer RNA is filed under the name Otolemur garnettii (small-eared galago). The record is from Rfam by way of RNAcentral. Lineage: Eukaryota; Metazoa; Chordata; Mammalia; Primates; Galagidae.
GAGCCUGUGGCCCAAACGGGUAGGGCGCUGGCCCCAUAUGCCAGAGAGUGGCAGGUUCA